RNAcentral lists this ribosomal RNA (292 nucleotides) under uncultured prokaryote. RNAcentral describes it as "partial 16S ribosomal RNA". It matches the Rfam family "Bacterial small subunit ribosomal RNA", at positions 505 to 796 of the family's 1533-position model. The record is from RNAcentral.
GUGCCAGCAGCCGCGGUAAUACGGAGGGUGCAAGCGUUAAUCGGAAUUACUGGGCGUAAAGCGCGCGUAGGUGGCUAAGUCAGCCAGGUGUGAAAGCCCCGGGCUCAACCUGGGAACGGCAUCUGGAACUGCUUGGCUAGGGUGCAGGAGAGGAAGGUAGAAUUCCCGGUGUAGCGGUGAAAUGCGUAGAGAUCGGGAGGAAUACCAGUGGCGAAGGCGGCCUUCUGGACUGACACUGACACUGAGGUGCGAAAGCGUGGGUAGCAAACAGGAUUAGAUACCCCAGUAGUCC